CCCAGCCCAGCGCAGCACCGCGCAGCAGCGCGCAGGUUGGCCCCGGUACAGUGCGGGACACAAAGGCACCGCUCGGCACUGCCCCACACUUAGCGCCCGGCCCCUCGCACCCCCUGGCUCUGCAGCACUUAGCAAUGCCCACAGGGCUAGCCAAGCCUCACCAGAGGUACUUAGCAAUAUUGGAUUCCCAGAAAGCAGGUUCGCUUUCCUCACCGCCACCCCCGCCUCCCCGAACCAUCGCCUGCCUAUUUGCCACGCCAGAAAAGCCCUUUAAACUGCAGAGCACUGGGCUAAAAAGUGUUUGCUGAUCUCUUCGCCUCCACACCGCCUCUAAACGCUCGGAAAACCGGUGGAUGUAGGGCUGCCCCGCUUCGACAAAUACUCCGGCUUUAAUUGCCAGAAGCCCAGUUAAAAUUAUUUGACAUACUGUUAACCCCUAGGAACAAACUCGCCGUCCCGAGAUCCUUUCCUUUCUGCCUCGUACCGUCGCCGAAGGCUGAGACCCGGGGAGACCUAUUUUAAAAACGUGGUUAAAUUUUUACUAUUGUUGCAUGAAAGGGAUGAUAUAGAAAGCGGAUUGUACAGGGCAGAGACUAAAAAGUACUUCUCUGCCAAUAAAAAAUGCACACCCCACCGAACGAGCGCAGCCAAAGAAAACAGAGAAAUACGCCAAAGAAUACAGCACCUUUUGAGGCAUGGACAUCCCUCGGCUGUUGGGAAAAAUAAUAAAAGUUUUUUUGCUGUUCUGAUGCUCGAUUUCAGAAAAGAAACAUUUGGGUUCCGGCUGGAUUUAAUCACAACAGAAAAACAGCGGCAAAAGGCUGUUGUGGUGUCGGUGCUCUGAUGAAAUCAGACGGAGCUCGAGGUCUGUGCCCCAAUGGACAGGGGAGGCUGAUGGAAGGGAGACCGAAAUGCUGGAGAAAUAAUAUUUGGAUUUCCCCCCCAAACCCCCCUUUUCCUCUGCAGCGCCGUGGAAGUAUUUAUAUAUCCGGAGAAAGUUCUAUAGUAAAUUCUGGAGAUCUUCGGUAUUUAAAUAUCAACAUCGAUUUGUUUAUUUAUUGCUCAGCUUAUCAUAACUGACUCGAUAACAAAUCUAAUCAUGUUGCUUGCAGGAAAAAAAUAUUCUCAUUAUGUAUUUUCCCUACGUUAUAGUUAACUGAAGCAUUUGAAUUCGAGCUGUAAAUUCAACAUUAUCAAGUAAUUACUUUGUAGUGGAGUAAACUAAUUUAUUAGCA
Meleagris gallopavo (turkey) is the source of this 1235-nucleotide long non-coding RNA. RefSeq lists it as uncharacterized. Lineage: Eukaryota; Metazoa; Chordata; Aves; Galliformes; Phasianidae. The record is from RefSeq and is a predicted model, not a curated record.